GUGCUUGCUUUAGUGGCACAUAUACUGAAACUGGAAUGACACAGAGAAGAUUGGCAUGGCUCCUGUGUAAUGAUGACACGCAAAUUCAUGAAGUGUUCCAUAUAUUU
Molecule: small nuclear RNA, 107 nt
Organism: Echinops telfairi (small Madagascar hedgehog)
Lineage: Eukaryota; Metazoa; Chordata; Mammalia; Afrosoricida; Tenrecidae
Source: RefSeq, a predicted model, not a curated record